Molecule: ribosomal RNA, 491 nt
Filed under: uncultured bacterium
Lineage: Bacteria
Description: partial 16S ribosomal RNA
Rfam family: Bacterial small subunit ribosomal RNA
Source: RNAcentral
AGUGAACGCUGGCGGUAGGCCUAACACAUGCAAGUCGAACGGCAGCACAGUAAGAGCUUGCUCUUACGGGUGGCGAGUGGCGGACGGGUGAGGAAUACAUCGGAAUCUACUUUUUCGUGGGGGAUAACGUAGGGAAACUUACGCUAAUACCGCAUACGACCUACGGGUGAAAGCAGGGGAUCUUCGGACCUUGCGCGAUUGAAUGAGCCGAUGUCGGAUUAGCUAGUUGGCGGGGUAAAGGCCCACCUAGGCGACGAUCCGUAGCUGGUCUGAGAGGAUGAUCAGCCACACUGAAACUGAGACACGGUACAGACUCCUACGGGAGGCAGAAGUGGGGAAAAUUGGACAAUGGGCGCAAGCCUGAUCCAGCCAUACCGCGUGGGUGAAGAAGGCCUUCGGGUUGUAAAGCCCUUUUGUUGGGAAAGAAAAGCAGCAGGUUAAUACCCCGCUGUUCUGACGGUACCCAAAGAAUAAGCACCGGCUAACUGCGU